AUUGAACGCUGGCGGCAUGCCUUACACAUGCAAGUCGAACGGCAGCACGGGUGCUUGCACCUGGUGGCGAGUGGCGAACGGGUGAGUAAUACAUCGGAACAUGUCCUGUAGUGGGGGAUAGCCCGGCGAAAGCCGGAUUAAUACCGCAUACGAUCUACGGAUGAAAGCGGGGGGCCUUCGGGCCUCGCGCUAUAGGGUUGGCCGAUGGCUGAUUAGCUAGUUGGUGGGGUAAAGGCCUACCAAGGCGACGAUCAGUAGCUGGUCUGAGAGGACGACCAGCCACACGGGGACUGAGACACGGCCCAGACUCCUACGGGAGGCAGCAGUGGGGAAUUUUGGACAAUGGGCGAAAGCCUGAUCCAGCAAUGCCGCGUGUGUGAAGAAGGCCUUCGGGUUGUAAAGCACUUUUGUCCGGAAAGAAAUCCUUGGCCCUAAUACGGUCGGGGGAUGACGGUACCGGAAGAAUAAGCACCGGCUAACUACGUG
This 486-nucleotide ribosomal RNA is filed under the name uncultured bacterium. Its description in RNAcentral is "partial 16S ribosomal RNA". It matches the Rfam family "Bacterial small subunit ribosomal RNA", at positions 30 to 507 of the family's 1533-position model. The record is from RNAcentral.